CAAUUGAUUGAUGGUGCUUGCACCUGAUUGAUUUUGGUCGCCAACGAGUGGCGGACGGGUGAGUAACACGUAGGUAACCUGCCCAGAAGCGGGGGACAACAUUUGGAAACAGAUGCUAAUACCGCAUAACAACGUUGUUCGCAUGAACAACGCUUAAAAGAUGGCUUCUCGCUAUCACUUCUGGAUGGACCUGCGGUGCAUUAGCUUGUUGGUGGGGUAAUGGCCUACCAAGGCGAUGAUGCAUAGCCGAGUUGAGAGACUGAUCGGCCACAAUGGGACUGAGACACGGCCCAUACUCCUACGGGAGGCAGCAGUAGGGAAUCUUCCACAAUGGGCGCAAGCCUGAUGGAGCAACACCGCGUGAGUGAAGAAGGGUUUCGGCUCGUAAAGCUCUGUUGUUAAAGAAGAACACGUAUGAGAGUAACUGUUCAUACGUUGACGGUAUUUAACCAGAAAGUCACGGCUAACUACGUGCCAGCAGCCGCGGUAAUACGUAGGUGGCAAGCGUUAUCCGGAUUUAUUGGGCGUAAGAGAGUGCAGGCGGUUUUCUAAGUCUGAUGUGAAAGCCUUCGGCUUAACCCGUCAGUGCCGGAGCUAACGCAUUAAGCACUCCGCCUGGGGAGUACGACCGCAAGGUUGAACUCAAAGGAAUUGACGGGGGCCCGCACAAGCGGUGGAGCAUGUGGUUUAAUUCGAAGCUACGCGAAGAACCUUACCAGGUCUUGACAUCUUGCGCCAACCCUAGAGAUAGGGCGUUUAAUUAAGGAACGCAAUGACAGGUGGUGCAUGGUCGUCGUCAGCUCGUGUCGUGAGAUGUUGGGUUAAGUCCCGCAACGAGCGCAACCCUUGUUACUAGUUGCCAGCAUUAAGUUGGGCACUCUAGUGAGACUGCCGGUGACAAACCGGAGGAAGGUGGGGACGACGUCAGAUCAUCAUGCCCCUUAUGACCUGGGCUACACACGUGCUACAAUGGACGGUACAACGAGUCGCGAACUCGCGAGGGCAAGCAAAGCUCUUAAAACCGUUCUCAGUUCGGACUGCAGGCUGCAACUCGCCUGCACGAAGUCGGAAUCGCUAGUAAUCGCGGAUCAACAUGCCGCGGUGAAUACGUUCCCGGGCCUUGUACACACCGCCCUUCACACCAUGAGAGUUUGUAACACCCAAAGUCGGUGGGGUAACCUUUUAGGAGCCAGCCGCCU
Molecule: ribosomal RNA, 1199 nt
Filed under: Limosilactobacillus frumenti
Lineage: Bacteria; Bacillati; Bacillota; Bacilli; Lactobacillales; Lactobacillaceae
Description: bacterial SSU rRNA
Rfam family: Bacterial small subunit ribosomal RNA
Source: RNAcentral